CCUACGGGAGGCAGCAGUGGGGAAUAUUGCACAAUGGGGGAAACCCUGAUGCAGCGACGCCGCGUGAGUGAAGAAGGAAUUCGGGAUGGAAAGCUCUAUCAGCAGGGAAGAAAAGGACGGUACCUGAGUAAGAAGCCACGGAUAACAACGGGCAAGCAGGCGCGGUAAUACGUAGGGGGCAAGCGUGAGCCGGAUUUACGGGGGGGAACGGGAGCGGAGACGGCAGUGCAAGUCGGGAGUGAAAGGCGGGGGCUCAACCCCCGGACUGCUCUGGAAACUGUCCGGCGGGAGUGCAGGAGAGGUUAGUGGCCUUCCUCGUGUAGCCGUGCAAUCCGUAGAUAUUAGGAGGCACACCAGUGGCGAAGGCGUCUUACUGGACUGUAACUGCCGUUGAGGCUCGAACGCGUGGGUAGCACACAGGAUUAGCUACCCGUGUAGUC
RNAcentral lists this ribosomal RNA (440 nucleotides) under uncultured bacterium. Its description in RNAcentral is "partial 16S ribosomal RNA". It matches the Rfam family "Bacterial small subunit ribosomal RNA", at positions 338 to 795 of the family's 1533-position model. The record is from RNAcentral.